RNAcentral lists this ribosomal RNA (253 nucleotides) under uncultured bacterium. RNAcentral describes it as "partial 16S ribosomal RNA". It matches the Rfam family "Bacterial small subunit ribosomal RNA", at positions 524 to 776 of the family's 1533-position model. The record is from RNAcentral.
UACGAAGGGGGCUAGCGUUGUUCGGAAUUACUGGGCGUAAAGCGCGCGCAGGUGGUCUUUCAAGUCAGUGGUGAAAGCCCGGAGCUCAACUCCGGAAAUGCCAUUGAAACUGUAAGACUUGAGGAUGAGAGAGGUGAGUGGAAUUCCCAGUGUAGAGGUGAAAUUCGUAGAUAUUCGGAAGAACACCAGUGGCGAAGGCGGCUCACUGGCCCGGUACUGACGCUGAGAUACGAAAGCGUGGGGAGCAAACAGG